GUGGGGAAUAUUGGACAAUGGGCGCAAGCCUGAUCCAGCCAUGCCGCGUGAGUGAUUAAGGCCCUAGGGUUGUAAAGCUCUUUCACCGGUGAAGAUAAUGACGGUAACCGGAGAAGAAGCCCCGGCUAACUUCGUGCCAGCAGCCGCGGUAAUACGAAGGGGGCUAGCGUUGUUCGGAAUUACUGGGCGUAAAGCGCACGUAGGCGGGUAUUUAAGUCAGGGGUGAAAUCCUAGAGCUCAACUCUGGAACUGCCUUUGAUACUGGGUACCUAGGGUAUGGAAGAGGUAAGUGGAAUUCCGGGUGUAGAGGUGAAAUUCGUAGAUAUUCGGAGGAACACCAGUGGCGAGGGCGGCUUACUGGUCCAAAACUGACGCGGAGGUGCGAAAGCGUGGGGAGCAAACAGAAUUAGAAACCCUGGUAGUCC
This 425-nucleotide ribosomal RNA is filed under the name uncultured bacterium. Its description in RNAcentral is "partial 16S ribosomal RNA". It matches the Rfam family "Bacterial small subunit ribosomal RNA", at positions 354 to 796 of the family's 1533-position model. The record is from RNAcentral.